Molecule: ribosomal RNA, 253 nt
Filed under: uncultured bacterium
Lineage: Bacteria
Description: partial 16S ribosomal RNA
Rfam family: Bacterial small subunit ribosomal RNA
Source: RNAcentral
UACGUAGGGUGCGAGCGUUAAUCGGAAUUACUGGGCGUAAAGCGUGCGCAGGCGGUUUUGUAAGCCAGAUGUGAAAUCCCCGGGCUCAACCUGGGAAUUGCGAUGAAGACUGCAAGGCUAGAAUCUGGCAGAGGGGGGUAGAAUUCCACGUGUAGCAGUGAAAUGCGUAGAGAAGUGGAGGAACACCGAUGGCGAAGGCAGCCCCCUGGGUCAAGAUUGACGCUCAUGCACGAAAGCGUGGGGAGCAAACAGG